Molecule: ribosomal RNA, 242 nt
Filed under: uncultured bacterium
Lineage: Bacteria
Description: partial 16S ribosomal RNA
Rfam family: Bacterial small subunit ribosomal RNA
Source: RNAcentral
UGGGUAACCUGCCUCAAAGAGGGGAAUAGCCUCCCGAAAGGGAGAUUAAUACCGCAUAAUAUGUUUAAGUCGCAUGACUUUAACAUCAAAGGAUUUUCUUUUAGAAAUUCCACUUUGAGAUGGACCCGCGGCGCAUUAGCUAGUUGGUGGGGUAACGGCUCACCAAGGCAACGAUGCGUAGCCGACCUGAGAGGGUGAUCAGCCACAUUGGAACUGAGACACGGUCCAGGCCUNUACGGGAG